This is a long non-coding RNA of Octopus bimaculoides (California two-spot octopus), 1057 nucleotides long. RefSeq lists it as uncharacterized. NCBI's taxonomy places the organism in Eukaryota, Metazoa, Mollusca, Cephalopoda, Octopoda, Octopodidae. The record is from RefSeq and is a predicted model, not a curated record.
CUCUCUCUCUGGUUGUAUAUAUUCAGGGAUGUAAUGUUAAAUUUAAUAAUUCCUUUGCGUCAUUUUCUUAUCUGGCUUUCACGAUGAACAGCGAUGUAUUGAAAAUAUUUAAAAUACAUUACAUUCAUGCAAUGAAUGUAAACACACACACAUACACACACAUACAUACGCACAUAAAUACACACAUACACACAAACACACACAGACACAUAUAUAUUUAUGUGUGUGUGUGUGUGUAUGCUGGUACGUAUACAUAUAUACUUAUAUAUACUUACAUAUAUAUAUAUAUUCAUGUAGAAGAUUCUGCAAUUGUGAUCUUUAUAGGAAUUAAACUCGUCAACCCAUUGAGCGGAAAAUUAUUGAAACAAAACUGUUUAAAUAUGAUACUGAACAGAAUAAUUCCUGAUCACGAAUCUGUGUUUUGAAGAAUUUUGAAGCUCGAAACCGGUGAGAGACGGAUGAUCAUUGCAUAAAUCUCACCGAAUCAAGGUUACAAUUUAAAUAUAGGAAACGAAAAGAAGAGAACAGUGCAAAAAGGCGAAAAUAAAACGGAAGCUGACACAAAGUAGGAGGAAGAUCUCUUCAGUAUAUUAUUAUUAUUCUGUAAAGCAUACAACAGAUAUAUAUUCAGCACAAUUAUGAACGAACUACUUGCUUUGAUGAGUAUUUUAUUUGCAUUCUCUUUAUUUUUCCUCCUAUUAAAAAUAUUCAUACCAGAAUGAGAUUAGGGCGUACUCUCGUGAGAAGAAUGUUUUGUUUUGUUAUAACGAUCAUAAGAGGCACAGCGCUAGUAAAUGACUGCAGUAGAAAGAAAAACAUGUUAAGCAUAAGAAUAAAUGCAACAAACAAUAUCACCAACAAACAACAUCAUUGCUGGGGUUUCAUUGGAACGCAUGGUUUAAGGACAGCAAUUUGGAAUUUGGAGGAAUUUGCGAUUGAGAUAUCAAGCAGAAAACAGUGUGAGAGUAAAGGGAUGUUUGUUGGCGGCGAUUAAAUAUUUUUCAUUGAUUCAUAUUGUGUCAUUUACCAAUAAAAUGGUCGAAUUUAAAAAGCCAAA